UGGAUUCUUAUCCUGGACAGUGGUUCCAAUUUGAGGAGAGCUGGGCGCAGAGAGGAGGCAUGGAAGCGAAUACAACCUUGCAAAAUGGGUAUAUCACAACUGACGAAUAUCAAAACUGAUGAACGUGAGAUUUUCUAUCCUGAUCGGAAAAAUAAAGUUGUUGCAUAUGAUUUGGGAAACAAGACUCAAAAGGGGGAAGAGAAAUGAAGGGAGGAACAAGAAAACGCCUAUUGAAAGUAGCCACUGGUUAAUAAGGCCAUGCAAAAGCACUGCACUCCAGAUGCUGCCAGACCUGCUCAGCUUUUCCAGCAAUUUCUGGUUUUGUUUGUGGCUAAUGCAAAACUUGUAUUGGCUUAUUUUGCAGCGUUAUGCAUAUUUCUGGUCACCAUAGUGUAGAGGGUGUAACAUACAUUGACAAGGAUAGUAUCAAAAAAAAUAAAUUUUAUUGAUCAGAAAUGGGUGAACUGGUGGGAUUUUAGCUGGUUGGUUGGAAGUUGGUUUGUUAACAGGAAUGAGACACUAAAGGAGAGUGGUCACAUUUCAGAUCAGAAAUAAAAGGGUUUGUGGAGGAGUUUCUCACGGCUUGGCUUUGGGAAGGGGAUCAUUACUUACUUUUAAACAGUGACCCCUAGUUCUAGAUCCUCACAUAACAGAAAACACCCUUACCACAUUUAUCCUGUUAAGGCCCCUCAGGAGUUUAUAUAUUUCAAUCUAGUCUCUUAUAAUUCCUGUAAACUCUAGCCUGCCCAAUCAUUCCUCAUAAGACCAUCCACUUUUAUCCAGGAAUUAGCCUAGUAAACCUUCUCUGAACUGCUUCUGAUACUUUUAUGUCAUUUCUUAAAUAAGGAGACAAAUACUGUAAACAGUACUCUAACUGUGGGCUCACCAGUGCUCUGAAUAACCAUUGCAUCACUCACUACUUUUAUAUUCAUUGCACAAUGGCAGCAGUUCAGUCUUCAACACUAUUGUCCCUCGAGACUGAUUACUGAACAUAGUGAUGUCGGACUCAGCCCCACUCUCUGCAACGAGAUCCUCAGUUUCCUGACCCACAGGCCACAAUCAGUGAAGAUUGGGGACAAUAUUUCAUCCUCACUAACACUCAACACUGGAGCUCCCCAGGGAUGCGUACUCAGUCCUCUAUUGUACUCACUGUAUACCUAUGACUACGUCGCCAAAUAUCAGACUACUGCCAGUUACAAGUUCGCUGAUGACACCACCAUAACUGGUCGAAUCUCAGAUGGUAACGAAACAGUCUACAGACGGGAGGUGGAAGACAUGGAAAAUGGUGCACUGAGAACAACCGAGCUCUCAAUGCCGACAAAACUAAGAAACUCAUUAUUACCUUUGGCGGGAUGUUAUUCAUGCCCCCCUACACAUUUACAGCACAGAGGUGGAAUAA
Non-coding RNA from Chiloscyllium plagiosum (whitespotted bambooshark), 1399 nucleotides. The record is from RefSeq and is a predicted model, not a curated record. Lineage: Eukaryota; Metazoa; Chordata; Chondrichthyes; Orectolobiformes; Hemiscylliidae.